AUGCGACUUAACUCUUUGCCCGCUCCUCAAAGGUGUUCCCCUUUGUCCUUGAAGGAAGAAGCUUGGAGAACGCCGAACCUUGUGAGCUCAGCCCCGAAUUCUUUUGGAGGCCUAAGAAGUAACGACAAGCAACUUCCUCGCCAGCUCCUCCGGUCCUGGGAAGGCAGAGGCGAGGGCGGGGGGGGCGCUUUUUCUGCCUCUCUCGUGCGGACGGCUCCGGCGUCAGGCUCGCCUUCAUGCGGACUAGCGCCCUCCAGGGGUUUUUCGCGGAGGACGACCGCGCUCCUCCCGGAGCCAGGCAAGCAAGUUGCAAGUUUACUCCCGAGAAGACAUUUCUGGGCUGGCCGGAAGGGUCGUUGCGCAUCUGGUGUAACCCCCCCUUCUUCCCCCACCGGGCGCAGGUGCGGCCAAUGGGACUCAAUCCUUGUGUUUUUCUCCCGGGAAAGCGCGCAGGAGAGGAUCGCGGGCAAACUUCCCCGCGGAGCCCCGGCGUGUGUGUCGGAUUGGGACCCUGCUUCCCUCUCGGUGGAAGGAGGAGGAGCGGCUGUUGUGUCUGGAAGGGGCCGG
Molecule: long non-coding RNA, 567 nt
Filed under: Pogona vitticeps (central bearded dragon)
Lineage: Eukaryota; Metazoa; Chordata; Lepidosauria; Squamata; Agamidae
Description: lncRNA (ENSPVIG00000016915.1)
Source: RNAcentral